RNAcentral lists this ribosomal RNA (251 nucleotides) under uncultured bacterium. RNAcentral describes it as "partial 16S ribosomal RNA". It matches the Rfam family "Bacterial small subunit ribosomal RNA", at positions 335 to 579 of the family's 1533-position model. The record is from RNAcentral.
CACCUACGGGAGGCAGCAGUAGGGAAUCUUCCACAAUGGACGAAAGUCUGAUGGAGCAACGCCGCGUGAGUGAAGAAGGGUUUCGGCUCGUAAAGCUCUGGUGGGAGUGGAGAAAGAUAGAGGGAGGAACUGGCCUUUAUUUGACGGUUAUUACUUAGAAAGUCACGGCUAACUACGUGCCAGCAGCCGCGGUAAUACGUAGGUGGCAAGCGUUGUCCGGAUUUAUUGGGCGUAAAGAGAGUGCAGGCGGU